Molecule: ribosomal RNA, 301 nt
Filed under: uncultured bacterium
Lineage: Bacteria
Description: partial 16S ribosomal RNA
Rfam family: Bacterial small subunit ribosomal RNA
Source: RNAcentral
CAGUAGCCGCGGUAAUACGGAGGGAGCUAGCGUUGUUCGGAAUUACUGGGCGUAAAGCGCGCGUAGGCGGUUACUCAAGUCAGAGGUGAAAGCCCGGGGCUCAACCCCGGAACUGCCUUUGAAACUAGGUGACUAGAAUCUUGGAGAGGUCAGUGGAAUUCCGAGUGUAGAGGUGAAAUUCGUAGAUAUUCGGAAGAACACCAGUGGCGAAGGCGACUGACUGGACAAGUGUUGACGCUGAGGUGCGAAAGCGUGGGGAGCAAACAGGAUUAGAUACCCCCGUAGUCCCUGUCUCUUAUAA